This 360-nucleotide long non-coding RNA is filed under the name Brachypodium distachyon (stiff brome). RNAcentral describes it as "long non-coding RNA (BDIS_LNC004131)". Lineage: Eukaryota; Viridiplantae; Streptophyta; Magnoliopsida; Poales; Poaceae. The record is from RNAcentral.
AGUGGCCGGACGCAAUGUGUGGGCGGCGCACAGGCGUACCUGAUGGCAAGUGGGAGCAGACGGCGCACGUGAGUGGACGGGCGGCGGGAAUCUACAAGCGGGCGGCCGUGCAUGGCGGCGUGAUGUUCAGUGGCGGGAUGAAUCGGGACAGGGAGAGAAGUUUGUACUCAUGGUGGAUGGAGAGGAUAGUCAGAGAGAGAGCGAGAAAUUCAGAAAAGAGAUUUGAAAAAUAAUAUACGAAGUAGAAGUAAUAGGAAAACAUGGUAAGAAGAAAUAUAUAAAUAAGACAUCUGAAAAAAAAAUCAGACUAUAGCCCACGAAAAUAAAAAUCAGACUAUAACCCACGAAAAUAAACGCAUC